This 1432-nucleotide long non-coding RNA is filed under the name Oryctolagus cuniculus (rabbit). Its description in RNAcentral is "lncRNA (ENSOCUG00000031234.1)". The record is from RNAcentral. Lineage: Eukaryota; Metazoa; Chordata; Mammalia; Lagomorpha; Leporidae.
AUGCAGCCUGUUGUACAAAAGCAGCGAGCGAAACUUCCCCGCUCCACAACCUGGACGAAUGAGGACCGAUUUCCCAGCUCAAGUCUGACUCUGCAGGGCCCUCUGCCCAGUGGAGUGGGAGGCCCUGCAGGGGCCCUGGGCCUCAUCCAGGUCACCCCCAGCACUGGGCGUCGACACUCCCCAGGGAACUGCCUCCUCCGUCUCCUCUUGCUUCUUCCUCUCAUUGCUCAAGUUCAAGAGCAUGUCCAAAGGCUUCUGGAGCCAAGUUCUUCCUUUAAUGAUGUUUGGACGGCCUCGGUUGGGCCCUCGGCCAUGGCAUCCCCGAGCCCUCCCUGGGUGGCUGUGGGCUCGUCCUCCCGUCUGAGACCCCUGCUGCCCCGGGAACGGCCGAGUCAGCCUCCUCUGGUUCUGCAGUCGGAGCCGCUCCCGUAAAUGCACUGCCGCUUCUUCUGCCACCCACGUCGUGUGGCCAAAACGCGUCAUGUGGAAAGAAUGCACAGUUGGCCUCUGUAUCCGCAGAAUCUGAAUAGAAAAUAUUAAAAAAAAAAAAGACCAUGUCUGUUUUACACAUGUAUGGACAUUUUUCCUUGUCAUUAUUUUCUAAUCAAUAUGGUCUAACCAGUGUUGACACAGCAUUUCCGUGGUACCAGGUGCUACAAGUCACCCAGAGACGUUUCAAGUGUACGGGUGAUUGCGUUGGGUUUUAUGAAAUUCUGCACCAUUUUACAUAAGGCUCUGGACCCGUGGGGACUCCUGAAACGUGGCCCUGCCCAUGCCCAGUGACACUGGGCUUCAAUAGAGCCCGCGGGUCCCCACAAUGCUCUGGGUCAGCGAUUCGAGGCAGAUGCUGUGUUAGGAGGAAGUCUGUGUGGUCCAGGGGAAGUGGCCUGGCGUUUGCUGUGGGUGGGAAAGGGCCAAUCCCCAGGGCCAGUGUCAAGGCCACAGAGCUCGUCUCUCUUCCGGGAAGCUGGGCCCGGUGUCUGCCCGUGCAGAGCUCAACACCAUGCACACUCAGGUCUGCAAAGGAGGCAGGGAAGCGGCCCAGCUCUGGGGCCAGGCAAGAGUGCCCCUCCCAUGGCUGCAGAGCCAGCUGCUUCCUUCCAGGUCCCUGUCCAGUGGACUCACCAGAGCUGGGUGUCCAUUUGGCUCAGCCCCUUUGCUUGGGCUGUGUUUCUCCCACUCCCAGGUCUUCUUCCUUAGGCAGCCAUCUGUGGGGCGGGGGGCGGGGGGGGGGGGACUGGAUGGGAGCCCAGGGCCGUUCCUGCUUCUGCUCCUUCUUGGACAGUGGUGAAAUUGCUCUCCCACCAAGCCUGCAGCUUUCUGGGCAGAGAGGAGGCUCCCUAAUCUGGUGCAGACUCGAGCCGGCCCGAGCGAGCCGUGGGGCAGCCACAGGAAGCGCAGGUGCCUGUGCCUGAUGGGGAAGAGACGCGGA